Molecule: non-coding RNA, 6043 nt
Organism: Arachis ipaensis
Lineage: Eukaryota; Viridiplantae; Streptophyta; Magnoliopsida; Fabales; Fabaceae
Source: RefSeq, a predicted model, not a curated record
UUUUGUGAUGCAGAUUAUGCGAGAGAUAGGGUGGAUAGAAGGAGCACAUCCGGCAUGUGUUGUUUCCUUGGAAGCUCACUCAACAUGUGGUCAAGCAAAAAAUAAGCCAUAGUGGUUCUAUCCACAACUGAAGCUGAAUAUAUUUCUACAUCUGCAUGUUGUUCACAACUAAUUUGGUUAAAAACGCAGUUGGAAGAUUACAAAUUAAAGAUCAAUAGUAUACCCUUAUUUUGUGAUAAUAUGAGUGCUAUAAACAUCUCAAAAAAUCUAGUUCUGCACUUAAGAACCAAGCACAUUGAAAUCAAAUAUCAUUUUAUUAGAGAACAUGUGCAAAAGGGUACUAUUGAUAUUCAAUUUGUAAAAUCUGAAGACCAAUUCGCUGACAUUUUUACAAAAUCCCUCUGUUAAGACAGAUUCUGCACUUUGAGAAAAAGUUUGGGAAUGAUAGAUUUAAGCUCUAUUGAUAACUUGUGAAAUUCUUGAUUCUGUUCAGUUUUGUCUUGUAGGAAAGCAGGAGAUAAAAAUCAGGAUGUGUUGAAAGGGCUAUGAUCAAGGGAGAGACUGCGCAGACAUUAAUUCUUUUGGGCCCCACCAAACUUCUUUGACCCCACUCUGACCAUUUUGUUAGUUCCUCUUUGUGUAAAUUACAAUUCCUUUUUGUUUCCUCAUCAAAUCUUGUUGGAAGAGGUUAUUGUCAAAUUAAAUCUUUUCCCUCUUCUUAUCCCUUGAUUAUAGGAAACAACUUUUUUGUUUUAAUUUCAAAUAAAAGGAAACCUCCAUUGGUUAAUAACCGCCCAUUAAUGAGUAUUAACUCCCUCCAAUUCUCUCUCCACUCAACAUUUAAUGCGUCCUUAACCUCUCUCUUCUCUCCACUCAAUUCGGUUCUCUCUUCAUCUUCCCCCUCCCACUUCUCCAUUUUCAUUAUCAUGAAAAAGAAAACUACCCCAAGGAAAAGUGAACGAGUCCUUCUCUCCCAAAAACCUACCACUUCUCAAACCCACACUCAUAUACACAUUCAUUCUACCUCUUCAUCUUCUCCCUCACCACCAUCCAAGCACACGGACACCAUAAGGAGAAAAGUGAUAGCAACGAAGACUUCUUCUAGGAAAAAGAAAGAGAAGGUACCCGUGGCUGAAGAAGAAGAAUCCCACACCUCACCUCCUCCAUCACCUCCGCCAUCACCACCGAAAAAGACCACCCCUGGACGCAAUUCACAGAAAACCAACAGAUUUGUGUUGCACAACACCAGGGAACCAGCAAACUUGGAAUCAUUGGACUUCAAAAAUAAGUUCAACAAACCUCACUCACACUAUGACCCAGCCAGGUUCAAUUCGUGUGCUUCUUAUGAAUUCCACAAGGAAGUGUUGGAGAAGCGCCACCUCUGUGCCACCUACCUAGUGAAUCUGGACUCACUCACAGCAAAAGGAAUUAACGUCUCUCCUCUGUUUGAAAAUAUGAAAUGGACUUCUCUGCUCCAUAUUCAGAAACAUGUUUACCCUGGAUUGGUACGAGAAUUUUAUACUAAUAUGAGACUGAUCGAUGGUACCAUCCACUCUUACGUAAAGAAGGUAUACAUGACUCUGAAUUCUGAGACCAUCAGCGCUGCCAUAGGCUAAACAGAUGAGGGACCAAGAGCGUACAUGACUGAAAAAUGGGACUCUCAGGUCGGGGUCACAUACAAGCAAUCCCUUCAAAUCUGUGAGAACUUGUCUGGAUUGGAUGGCACCAUUCCUACUCAUAAGGCCCUCAGACCAACAAACUCUCUUCUGCACCGAAUCAUCACCUAUAUUCUGACUCCUCAAAGUGGUUCACAUAACAGAGUAACUAUUUCUGACUCUCUUGUACUUUUUGCUCUUGUUACUUCUACUCCUAUCUCAUUUGGAUACCUUAUGAUAAGGCACAUGUGGGAAUCUGUUAAGAGUACCAAAAAGGUAAAUCUGCCUUAUGACAUAUUUUUCACCAGUAUUUUUGAAUAUUUUAAAGUUGAUUUAACCAAUGAAGCUGUAGAAAAUAAGGUAUCAAUGAUUAAAGGAGGAGGAGCUAUGAAGGGAACCAAAGGGAAGAAGUCAGUACCCUCGAACAGUGAGUUUGAGAGUCGGCCUGAGUCUUCCAAGACAACAGAAUCGAUCAAAGAAAUCCUCACUGAAUUCUCCAACAUGUCGGAGCUAAUGGUACAAUCCUAUAAGGCAGCCCGCAAGCAAGCCUAUGAAAAUGAGAGGGUGUGGAUGAGGUGAAAAGAUAGGGUAGGUCUAAUGUUGCAGAGUUUUGAGGAGGAGAUAGGUGCUGCUAGUGAAGAGGAGGCAGAUGGCUCUGAGUUCAACUUAUCAGAUGAUUGAUCACUGUUUUCUUCUUAUAUUUGAUAUUGGCUUGUUCAGGCUCAAUUUGAUACUGUAGUAGUCUGCUUGGAUACUUUAGACCUAUGACAUUGUGAUAAACUCUUGGUAUUUUGAUUAUAUUUUGCUUCCAAUGUCAUUUUUUUUGCAGGUGCCCCUUGAUGCCAAAAGAGGGAGAAAUGGCUAAAAAAAUUAAAACUAAGAAAACAGGAGAUGAAAUCCUAUGUGGUUUUGGAUUCAUGAUCACCCUUGUUUUAAUCUUUUGUUGUGGUGAUCUACUUGAUGUUAAUGCAUCUGUUUUAUCUUGGUAAAAAUGUUUGCUGCUGCUUGAUGCUUGUGAUGCAUUUGUUUCAUAGAUAUGCCUGCUGAGUUUUGGAUUAGAAAUAUGCAUUUGAUUUAUUUUGAGGAUGCAAUUGAUUUACAUUGGUGAAUAUGUUUGUUGCUAUGGAUUAGGAAUAUACAUUUGAUUUACCUUGGUAAAUAUGCUUGCUGAAUACUUUAUUUUUGGCAGUUCCUUUAAGCUGUGGUAUGAAAAUAAAUUUUGAUAGUUGCUAUGAUUUGAGAUAAUCAUGCUUGAUUAGAAAUAUUUUCCUUGCUCUGAUUAUUUUGCUCUGAUAUACUGUUUAGGAAAAUAUCUUCGAAUAGCUUGAACAGCAAUUUCUUGAAACACCAAAAAUAUUUUCGGUUGAUAUGUACUCAAUUGCAUUGUGUGUGUUUGAGCAGAAAAUCAAUUUAUGAUAAACAAAUGAGUUUUGCUUAUCAAACAAAUUCUGCUCAUAAAUCAAGCAUUCAACAUUUCAAAAAUUAAUAUGUUGAAUAACAUAGUUUCCUUAAGCUUGAUUUCUAAAGUUACAGGUAUAAAGCUUCCCUUGGUAAAAUAGCAUACUUUAAGGGGAGCCAUGCAACAAUUGAAAAGGAAGGAAUCCAAGUAUUCACAAAGGGAGUACUCUAACUUUUUUAUUUCUUUCCAUUUCAAUUUUUAAUAAUGUUUGUCAUCAAUGGGGAGAUUGAUGAGUUUGGAAAACUCUAUUUUAAAUUAGUGAUAAAUGAAUAUUAUUAAUGUGAUUAAUUGCAAAAUUAUUAAUGUAAUCUCAAUUCAUACUUGCUUAAUUAAUAAUUUUGUUGGUGCAGAUUUUGCUAUUGGGCUGAACAGAAAAGAAAAAAUACUGCAAGCCCAAUUGUAUUAAAAAUACAUUCAGCAGUGAUACAAAAUUAUUUUUAUCUUUGUGGCUGAAUUGGUGUUAUGUUAUUUGGGCCAGAAUUUGUGAUACAAGCUCAAUUGAAAUUCUUGCUCCAAGACCAUUAAAGUUGGUCCGAAACCAAUAUUGAGAGAAAGCAAAUAUUUUGCUUCAUACUUCCAACGGAUCUACUUUGUUUAUCAUGUGAUGGAAUUCAAAAUUUUAUUAAGGAGAGUUAAUGUAGACCUUAGAACAAUGAGAGAGAAAUUGUCAUUGAUUUGAUUGAUGGGCUUAAUGCUACAGGCUACUCAGCAAAGGGCCAACUAGGUGUAUAUACAGUGUGAGACGGCAACAAAAUAUGCCCAUGCAUGAAAGGAUCAUCCUGUAUUUAGAGAGGGCUGGAUUGUAUCAUUUGGCUAGGCUAAACAGCCACUGGUUCUGGUUGGAUGAACUCUUGGUCAGUGUGUUCGUUGAGAGGUGGCAUCCUGAGACGCACACAUUUCACAUGCCUUUCGGAGAGUGCACAGUGACAUUGCAAGAUGUGGCGUUUCAGCUAGGGUUGCCUGUCGAUGGGUGGGCCGUGAGUGGUUGCCUUGGGGAGUUUGAGAAAUUCAUGGAGGGUGGCCGACCAUCUUGGGAGUGGUUUUAGGAUCUAUUCAGUGAGCUACCACCACCGAAUAAGGUCAAGCAGAUGACGGUCCACUUUAUAUGGUUCCACGAGAGGUUUAGGGUGUUAUCAGUAGAUGCGACCGAGGACACUGUCCGCAUUUACGCACGUACCUACAUCAUAAUGCUGUUAUCCACUCAGUUAUUUGGGGACAAGAGUGCGAACCAGGUAUAUAUAUGGUAGUUGUCAUUUGUGGCGAACCUUGAUGAUAUGGGGAGGUGUAGCUGGGGGUCGGCCGCUUUGGCGUGGUUGUACCGAUGCAUGUGUCGGGUUGCGAACAGAAACGUGACCAACCUUGCGGGUCCUCUCUAUUUGCUACAGAGUUGGAUAUUCUGGCGGUUUCCGUCGCUUAGGCCGCCUGGGUUUGAGGUUUUCUCCUUUCCGCUGGCAUCCAGGUGGUCUGCUUACUUACCUCCGAACGAUGGCAAGGAAUAGAGGGUCAUAAAUUAUCGUCUUGCGUUGGAUCGGUUGACCGUUCGCGAUAUUGUAUGGGAGCCCUACUCCGCGCUUGAUGUACUUAUUGUGGUCCAUCUGGAGAUACUUAUGGAGGAGCAUUGUCGCAUAUGGCGAGCGGUCACUACUUUGAUAUACUUUGCGGUCAUCGAGUGGCAUCAGGUUGACAGGUUGUCCCAUAGCUUGGUGGAGUGUAGCAUAUCCCCGAGGGGGCUUUGAACAUAGACUGGCUGCAUGCUAAGGACGGGAGGGGAGGAGAUAGGUGGUUCCCCCAUUACUAUCAGGCCUGGCAUUUACACUGGGGGAACAGACUUGAUGCAGUCAUUUUGAUCGAUUGAGUGGCAGAUCCUGGUCCCUCCUCUGAUUAUUUAGAUUGGUGGUACCGAGCGGCACAUAGGUUCCUUAGCCCAGGGGCAGCAUUUACAGAUCCUAGGGGCACCGAGAUACCGCCAGAGGCCUUUCAGAGAGGAUCAUCUCAGGUCCCAUGCAGAUCACAGCUACCUGAUAUGCCGGACAAUCGGCGUAUUGAGAGACGCCGCUGUGCUGGUACCCGGGACACCGGUCGAGAGUGGCGAUGGUUAGAUGAUAUGAUGCAGGAGGAUGAUGCAGGCAGGGAUGCCAGAGUUGGGGGCAAUCACCGUGUUCGUCAGGUGAGGUCCAGACAUAGGGGCACUGGAGGUGGCACCCAGUUCCGCGAUGGAGUUAGUGGGGACACAGCGACUCAGGCUGGAGGCGGGACACACAUCGGUAGAUCCUACUCUCCGAUGCCUGAGCCGAGUUAGCAGAUGUUUGCUGAUCUCGGUACGGCGACGAUGACUGUGGAUUUAGAUGAUCAGAUGGGUUGCUCAUAGUUUUAUGCAGAGUUUGCUGCGAUGAUUGGGGAUGAUGCUGGCCCGUCCCAUGGUCAGUUCGAUGCCCCACCUUACCACCUGCAGAUGCCGGAUGUGCAGUUCGAUACCACAGCUUACCACCCAUAUAAGACAGAGAUGCAGUCCUAUGCACCUGACUACCAGGGACAGUAUGUGGUGGAUCUUAACGAGCCUGCAGGUAGCCCGUUGGAUACUUGGUUCACCAUGGGAGGGACCCCCAGUCUGCGUUUGGGUUAGACCCUCCGGUUGAUGACACUGCACAGGAGGCGGCCCGCCCAGCUAGAGUCAGGCGUCCCACUCACUGUGGGACAGGAUCUCAUCUGCUUGGGCCUUUUGAUGCUGCCGCCCAGGAUGAUCGCGAUGAUUAGUCUGUUGUGUUGUAUUUUUAUUUUGGGUAUGUGAUUUAGACCUUUGUUAGUGACUUUAUGUUUAGUUAUUAUGGACGACUGUUAUUUGGGAUAUUCAUUUACUACUAUAUGGCUUAUGAUAUAUUUAUAUUCAUGACUAUAUGCUCAUUUGUAUAAAGGAAGUCGACUUUUCAUU